GAUGAACGCUGGCGGCGUGCCUAAUACAUGCAAGUCGAGCGAACGGACGAGAAUCUUGCUUUUCUGAUGUUAGCGGUGGACGGGUGAGUAACACGUGGAUAACCUACCUAUAGGACUGGGAUAACUUCGGGAAACCGGAGCUAAUACCGGAUAAUAUUUUGAACCGCAUGGUUCAAAGGUGAAAGACGGUCUUGCUGUCACUUAUAGAUGGACCCGCGCUGCAUUAGCUAGUUGGUAAGGUAACGGCUUACCAAGGCAACGAUGCAUAGCCGACCUGAGAGGGUGAUCGGCCACACUGGAACUGAGACACGGUCCAGACUCCUACGGGAGGCAGCAGUAGGGAAUCUUCCGCAAUGGGCGAAAGCCUGACGGAGCAACGCCGCGUGAGUGAUGAAGGUCUUCGGAUCGUAAAACUCUGUUAUUAGGGAAGAACAUAUGUGUAAGUAACUGUGCACAUCUUGACGGUACCUAAUCAGAAAGCCACGGCUAACUACGUG
Molecule: ribosomal RNA, 497 nt
Filed under: uncultured bacterium
Lineage: Bacteria
Description: partial 16S ribosomal RNA
Rfam family: Bacterial small subunit ribosomal RNA
Source: RNAcentral